Long non-coding RNA from Poeciliopsis prolifica (blackstripe livebearer), 819 nucleotides. RefSeq lists it as uncharacterized. The record is from RefSeq and is a predicted model, not a curated record. NCBI's taxonomy places the organism in Eukaryota, Metazoa, Chordata, Actinopteri, Cyprinodontiformes, Poeciliidae. The transcript is spliced from 5 exons.
AAACCUUUUCCGAAUCAUUUCCCUGCUGUUUCUGCUUCACAUUGGACAGUCACUGGAUUUUAGAGAUUAUAGGAAUGUUGAAAGCUUGGUGAAUAACUUGCAGAAAGCAGAAGAAUUAGUCACAUACCUUAGAGAAGUACAAAGUGGUACUGAAUUUAUCUUAAUUCUUUUGGAUGAAGCAAAGUUUGUAGCAAACAAGAAGCAUCUUGAACUAUUCCAGCCAUAUCUUCAAGAAGCUGUAGAUGAAGCACACAAACAAAAGGUCAAAAUGUCAUCUUUUACAAUGGGCAUGCAACGGAUUUGCAAUUUGAUCAUGAACACUGAAUGUUACCUUAAAGAAACGAAAAAGUCAAUAUUUACUCAUCAAUCGAAGACAAGGUUAAUUGAAGCCAUAGAGCAACUCCAUGGAUUAUGUGUGAGUUACGUAGCGUUGCAGAAAGACACCUUCAAUGGAAAAACAAAGGAGACUGAAACAAAACUGACAUGGACGUUGAAUAUUCUUACAUUACGGAAGAAGAUUCUCUUUCUUUAUGAAAUUAAACCAGUCGUGAUACUUUGCAUUUUAGCCCUUUGUUGGAUGUGUUCCCGCAUCUGUUCUUGUAUAUUUUCAUACCUAUAAAUUGUUUCAUCAUGAACAUAUAUUUUGUAUCUGCAGUAAAGUUUAACUCUUUCUGAACUUUGCAUGAUUUAGGAUUUAGGAGAAGGUUGUGUUUGUGUCUGUUGAACCAUUUUUAUGUUCAUAUACCUUUAAUCACUGAAGAAUCAUUGUCACGACCUUCUAUUUCCACCCAGAGUGUGGGUGGAAAUAGGUGGCUUGAU